AGAAGAUGUAGUUUCUUUCUUUACUUUUUUGUCAAUUUAUCAACUCCUACAAACAGCCAUACAGCAUAUAUUAAACACUGCAAGAACCCUGGAACCCAGUAUAAACCAACUGCGCAGGAAAUGUUCUCUUCUCACACUAAGCAUAGGGGAGAUGGGUCAGCUAUACAAUUAUUCUAUACAAAUCUGCUAUGUUUUUUUGAGGUGCGAAAACAUGGCUAAAAAACAA
Non-coding RNA from Pelobates cultripes (western spadefoot toad), 226 nucleotides. The record is from the annotation of a GenBank genome assembly. NCBI's taxonomy places the organism in Eukaryota, Metazoa, Chordata, Amphibia, Anura, Pelobatidae.